GACGAACGCUGGCGGCAUGCCUAAUACAUGCAAGUCGAACGCUGAAGCACUCUGCUUGCGGAGUGCGGAUGAGUGGCGAACGGGUGAGUAACACGUGGGAAAUCUGCCUAUAAGAGGGGGAUAACAUUCGGAAACGGAUGCUAAUACCGCAUAUAUUCUUGGACCGCCUGGUCCUUGAAAGAAAGACGGCUUUGCUGUCGCUUAUAGAUGAUCCCGCGGCGUAUUAGUUAGUUGGUGGGGUAAAGGCCUACCAAGACAAUGAUACGUAGCCGACCUGAGAGGGUGAUCGGCCACACUGGGACUGAGACACGGCCCAGACUCCUACGGGAGGCAGCAGUAGGGAAUCUUCCACAAUGGGCGAAAGCCUGAUGGAGCAAUGCCGCGUGAAUGAAGAAGGUCUUCGGAUCGUAAAGUUCUGUUAUUAGAGAAGAACAAGUCAAGGAGUAACUGUCUUGACUUUGACGGUACCUAACCAGAAAGUCACGGCUAACUACGUG
Molecule: ribosomal RNA, 497 nt
Filed under: uncultured bacterium
Lineage: Bacteria
Description: partial 16S ribosomal RNA
Rfam family: Bacterial small subunit ribosomal RNA
Source: RNAcentral